AAUCCUUUAACGAGGAUCUAUUGGAGGGCAAGUCUGGUGCCAGCGGCCGCGGUAAUUCCAGCUCCAAUAGCGUAUAUUAAAGUUGUUGUGGUUAAAAAGCUCGUAGUUGGAUCUCAGUUCGAGUCAGGCGGUCCACUUGCCAGUGGCUACUGCCUGACUGAACACUUUACCGAGUUGUCCUAUGGUGUUCUUCACCGAGCGUCAUAGGCGAUCGGUACGUUUACUUUAAAAAAAUUAGAGUGCUCAAAGCAGGCGUAACGCCCGAAUAAUGUUGCAUGGAAUAAUGGAAUAGGACCUCGGUUCUAUUUUGUUGGUCUUCGGAAUCAGAGGUAAUGAUCAAUAGGGACAGACGGGGACAUUCGUAUUGCGGCGCUAGAGGUGAAAUUCUUGGACCGUCGCAAGACGAACUAAAGCGAAAGCAUUUGUCAAGAAUGUUUUCAUUAAUCAAGAACGAAAGUUAGAGGUUCGAAGGCGAUCAGAUACCGCCCUAGUUCUAACCAUAAACGAUGCCAACCAGUAAUUCGUCUGAGUUCCUUAAAUGACUCGACGAGGGACUUCCGGGAAACCAAAGUCUUUCGGUUCCAGGGGAAGUAUGGUUGCAAAGCUGAAACUUAAAGAAAUUGACGGAAGGGCACCACCAGGAGUGGAGCCUGCGGCUUAAUUUGACCCAACACGGGAAAACUCACCCGGCCCGGACACUGGAAGGAUUGACAGAUUGAGAGCUCUUUCUUGAUUCAGUGGGUGGUGGUGCAUGGCCGUUCUUAGUUGGUGGAGUGAUUUGUCUGGUUAAUUCCGAUAACGAACGAGACUCUAGCCUACUAAAUAGAUCGUCGGCUUACAAACGCCGGCGAGACUUCUUAGAGGGACAGGCGGUGAUUCAACCGCACGAAACAGAGCAAUAACAGGUCUGUGAUGCCCUUAGAUGUCCGGGGCCGCACGCGCGCUACACUGAAGUGAUCAGCGUGCUUUUUCAACCUACUCUGUCAAGAGUGGGGAACCCAAUGAACCUUCUUCGUGAUUGGGAUAGGGGAUUGUAAUUAUUCCCCUUGAACGAGGAAUUCCCAGUAAGCGCGAGUCAUAAGCUCGCGUUGAUUACGUCCCUGCCCUUUGUACACACCGCCCGUCGCUACUACCGAUUGAAUGUUUUAGUGAGGUCUUCGGACUGGCCGGCGCAGCACUCUCGUAGUGCAGCGCUGUGUUUGGAAAGAUGCCCAAACUUGAACAUUUAGAGGAAGUAAAAGU
This 1242-nucleotide ribosomal RNA is filed under the name metagenome. RNAcentral describes it as "SSU rRNA". It matches the Rfam family "Eukaryotic small subunit ribosomal RNA", at positions 528 to 1789 of the family's 1831-position model. The record is from RNAcentral.